Molecule: ribosomal RNA, 465 nt
Filed under: uncultured Neisseriaceae bacterium
Lineage: Bacteria; Pseudomonadati; Pseudomonadota; Betaproteobacteria; Neisseriales; Neisseriaceae
Description: bacterial SSU rRNA
Rfam family: Bacterial small subunit ribosomal RNA
Source: RNAcentral
CCUACGGGCGGCUGCAGUGGGGAAUUUUGGACAAUGGGGGCAACCCUGAUCCAGCCAUGCCGCGUGUCUGAAGAAGGCCUUCGGGUUGUAAAGGACUUUUGUUAGGGAAGAAAAGGGAAGUGCUAAUACCACUUUUUGCUGACGGUACCUAAAGAAUAAGCACCGGCUAACUACGUGCCAGCAGCCGCGGUAAUACGUAGGGUGCGAGCGUUAAUCGGAAUUACUGGGCGUAAAGCGAGCGCAGACGGUUACUUAAGCAGGAUGUGAAAUCCCCGGGCUCAACCUGGGAACUGCGUUCUGAACUGGGUAGCUAGAGUAUGUCAGAGGGGGGUAGAAUUCCACGUGUAGCAGUGAAAUGCGUAGAGAUGUGGAGGAAUACCGAUGGCGAAGGCAGCCCCCUGGGAUAAUACUGACGUUCAUGCUCGAAAGCGUGGGUAGCAAACAGGAUUAGAUACCCGGGUAGUC